This 187-nucleotide ribosomal RNA is filed under the name uncultured rumen bacterium. RNAcentral describes it as "partial 16S ribosomal RNA". It matches the Rfam family "Bacterial small subunit ribosomal RNA", at positions 340 to 524 of the family's 1533-position model. The record is from RNAcentral.
UACGGGAGGCAGCAGUGAGGAAUAUUGGUCAAUGGGCGAGAGCCUGAACCAGCCAAGUAGCGUGCAGGAAGACGGCCCUAUGGGUUGUAAACUGCUUUUAUAUAGGGAUAAAGUCGGGGACGUGUCCCCGUUUGUAGGUACUAUAUGAAUAAGGACCGGCUAAUUCCGUGCCAGCAGCCGCGGUAAU